CGGACGGGUGAGUAACACGUAGAGAACCUACCUUACACAGGGGGACAACGGCUGGGAAACGGCUGCUAAUACCGCAUAAGCACCCAGUUUCGCAUGAAACAGAGUGAAAAGAGUAAAUCGGUGUAAGAUGGCUCUGCGUCUGAUUAGCUAGUUGGUGGGGGUAAAGGCUCACCAAGGCGACGAUCAGUAGCCGGCCUGAGAGGGCGACCGGCCACAUUGGGACUGAGACACGGCCCAGACUCCUACGGAAGGCAGCAG
This 258-nucleotide ribosomal RNA is filed under the name uncultured bacterium. RNAcentral's name for it is "partial 16S ribosomal RNA". It matches the Rfam family "Bacterial small subunit ribosomal RNA", at positions 99 to 354 of the family's 1533-position model. The record is from RNAcentral.